AAUGAUGGUUUGGUCGCUUUGCAUUAUAAGUCAUAUGGGAUUUUUUGUGUACAUCCAAAAAGUCUUAUAAUAUCUGUAGGGGAUUUACCCACUACAGAUAUUAUAGAGCC
Molecule: non-coding RNA, 110 nt
Filed under: Streptococcus pyogenes
Lineage: Bacteria; Bacillati; Bacillota; Bacilli; Lactobacillales; Streptococcaceae
Description: Streptococcus RNA 266
Rfam family: Streptococcus RNA 266
Source: RNAcentral